CGGGUGAGUAACACGUGAGCAAUCUGCCCUUCUCUUUGGAAUAACCAUUGGAAACGAUGGCUAAUGCCGAAUAUGACCUCCUUUCGCAUGUUUGGAGGUGGAAAGCUCCGGCGGAGAAGGAUGAGCUCGCGGCCUAUCAGCUUGUUGGUGAGGUAAUGGCUCACCAAGGCAUUGACGGGUAGCCGGCCUGAGAGGGUGACCGGCCACACUGGGACUGAGACACGGCCCAGACUCCUACGGGAGGCAGCAGUGGGGAAUAUUGGACAAUGGGCGAAAGCCUGAUCCAGCAACGCCGCGUGAGGGAUGACGGCCUUCGGGUUGUAAACCUCUUUCAGCAGGGACGAAGCGAAAGUGACGGUACCUGCAGAAGAAGGACCGGCCAACUACGUGCCAGCAGCCGCGGUAAUACGUAGGGUCCGAGCGUUGUCCGGAAUUAUUGGGCGUAAAGGGCUCGUAGGCGGUUUGUCGCGUCGGGAGUGAAAACUCAGGGCUCAACCCUGAGCGUGCUUCCGAUACGGGCAGACUAGAGGUAUGCAGGGGAGAACGGAAUUCCUGGUGUAGCGGUGGAAUGCGCAGAUAUCAGGAGGAACACCGGUGGCGAAGGCGGUUCUCUGGGCAUUACCUGACGCUGAGGAGCGAAAGCAUGGGGAGCGAACAGGAUUAGAUACCCUGGUAGUCCAUGCCGUAAACG
Molecule: ribosomal RNA, 691 nt
Filed under: Aeromicrobium sp. PE-R2A-72
Lineage: Bacteria; Bacillati; Actinomycetota; Actinomycetes; Propionibacteriales; Nocardioidaceae
Description: bacterial SSU rRNA
Rfam family: Bacterial small subunit ribosomal RNA
Source: RNAcentral